CAGGGACCUGAUUACUAGCCACCACCUUUGCCUUUGCCAUCAGGGCAGGAGUGGAGACUUCCCCGCCUUUGGUAGAUAAGCAGGACCAAGGCCAAAAGAGGACAAGGUCCUAAUGAGUGUGUGGCAUUGCACUGUACUCCUCUGAGGCCCUGCUGAGCGGGGUCUAAUCCUGCAGCUGUUAAGGAAACGGGGGUGGAGAAAGCCUCUGUGGGUAUUUGACCGACACCUCUGAGGCU
This 236-nucleotide long non-coding RNA is filed under the name Homo sapiens (human). RNAcentral describes it as "HSALNT0156409". Lineage: Eukaryota; Metazoa; Chordata; Mammalia; Primates; Hominidae. The record is from RNAcentral.